AUGCAACAACUACGCCUUGUUCGUAACAUGAGAGCCGACAACGAUCCAUGGUUUGCGGAAUUCCUCAUGCGCAUAGGAAAUGGCACGAAGGAGACCGAUGAAGAAAAUAAUGUACAACUUCCAGAGGAUAUUUGUGUGCCCUGCACAGGGAAGGACACUGACCUUGACAUGAUGAUUGAACGCGUCUACCAUGAUCUAGAUGAGAACCAAACCGAUCCUACUUAUAUUACCACAAGGGCGAUACUGACGACUAGGAACGAGAAUGUUGAUAGGAUAAACAUGAGGAUGAUCGAACACUUCCCAUGUCAAGAUGAUAUAUCACAGCUUUGA
Molecule: ribosomal RNA, 330 nt
Filed under: Triticum aestivum (bread wheat)
Lineage: Eukaryota; Viridiplantae; Streptophyta; Magnoliopsida; Poales; Poaceae
Description: partial small subunit ribosomal RNA
Source: RNAcentral